CCUACGGGUGGCUGCAGUGGGGAAUCUUCCGCAAUGGACGAAAGUCUGACGGAGCAACGCCGCGUGAACGAUGACGGCCUUCGGGUUGUAAAGUUCUGUUAUACGGGACGAAUGGCGUAGCGGUCAAUACCCGUUACGAGUGACGGUACCGUAAGAGAAAGCCACGGCUAACUACGUGCCAGCAGCCGCGGUAAUACGUAGGUGGCAAGCGUUGUCCGGAAUUAUUGGGCGUAAAGGGCGCGCAGGCGGCGUCGUAAGUCGGUCUUAAAAGUGCGGGGCUUAACCCCGUGAGGGGACCGAAACUGCGAUGCUAGAGUAUCGGAGAGGAAAGCGGAAUUCCUAGUGUAGCGGUGAAAUGCGUAGAUAUUAGGAGGAACACCAGUGGCGAAAGCGGCUUUCUGGACGACAACUGACGCUGAGGCGCGAAAGCCAGGGGAGCAAACGGGAUUAGAUACCCCGGUAGUC
Molecule: ribosomal RNA, 465 nt
Filed under: uncultured Megasphaera sp.
Lineage: Bacteria; Bacillati; Bacillota; Negativicutes; Veillonellales; Veillonellaceae
Description: bacterial SSU rRNA
Rfam family: Bacterial small subunit ribosomal RNA
Source: RNAcentral